This 497-nucleotide ribosomal RNA is filed under the name uncultured bacterium. RNAcentral's name for it is "partial 16S ribosomal RNA". It matches the Rfam family "Bacterial small subunit ribosomal RNA", at positions 28 to 507 of the family's 1533-position model. The record is from RNAcentral.
GAUGAACGCUGGCGGCGUGCCUAAUACAUGCAAGUCGAGCGAACAGACGAGGAGCUUGCUCCUCUGACGUUAGCGGCGGACGGGUGAGUAACACGUGGAUAACCUACCUAUAAGACUGGGAUAACUUCGGGAAACCGGAGCUAAUACCGGAUAACAUGUUGAACCGCAUGGUUCAACAGUGAAAGACGGUCUUGCUGUCACUUAUAGAUGGAUCCGCGCGGGAUUAGCUAGUUGGUAAGGUAACGGCUUACCAAGGCAACGAUGCGUAGCCGACCUGAGAGGGUGAUCGGCCACACUGGAACUGAGCCACGGUCCAGACUCCUACGGGAGGCAGCAGUAGGGAAUCUUCCGCAAUGGGCGAAAUCCUGACGGAGCAACGCCGCGUGAGUGAAGAAGGUCUUCGGAUCGUAAAACUCUGUUAUUAGGGAAGAACAAAUGUGUAAGUAACUAUGCACGUCUUGACGGUACCUAAUCAGAAAGCCACGGCUAACUACGUG